CUGUUUGGAGGCUGUAAUUCUCAUUCAGGUUGUCCUGAGGAUGAGACCUCAGUGAUUUCACUCUCAGGAAAAGAUGGCAUGGGAUUUCUGAAAAAAGCAGAAGGUUUCUUCUCAAGAUGGCUUUGGGAACAAAUUAUGCUGAAGUGAGUUUGAAAAAUGAACUGAGGUCCUCAGGCGUCAACUCAAAUUCUCCUGCAGUGCUGAGGAUUUAACCCAGGGUGUUUCCAACUGACUUAUAUCCCCAGCCCCCUUAGUGCUUUCAUCUUAAUGGAAGUGACUGCAAGACCCCCAACACCUUUUGUAGUGAUCAUUUUCAGGUUUUGUAUAUCCUAGGCAAAAUCGCUGUAGCAUGAAGCUAUACCCCCAGUUGAGAAAAGGCUUUCUGACCAUAAAAUAGUGACCUAAAAGGUUGAUUGUAUAGUAAAAACAUGAAAGUUGGUCAUAAUGAUUUAUCUUGUAUAGCAUAUUUUAAGUUGGACAUAGUAUUAUUUAAAUAUGUAAUGAAGUAAUGAGCAACCAUAACAA
Non-coding RNA from Marmota flaviventris (yellow-bellied marmot), 525 nucleotides. Lineage: Eukaryota; Metazoa; Chordata; Mammalia; Rodentia; Sciuridae. The record is from RefSeq and is a predicted model, not a curated record.